UUAACACAUGCAAGUCGAACGGAAAGGCCCUGCUUUUGUGGGGUGCUCGAGUGGCGAACGGGUGAGUAACACGUGAGUAACCUGCCCUUGACUUUGGGAUAACUUCAGGAAACUGGGGCUAAUACCGGAUAGGAGCUCCUGCUGCAUGGUGGGGGUUGGAAAGUUUCGGCGGUUGGGGAUGGACUCGCGGCUUAUCAGCUUGUUGGUGGGGUAGUGGCUUACCAAGGCUUUGACGGGUAGCCGGCCUGAGAGGGUGACCGGCCACAUUGGGGCCGAGAUACGGCCCAGACUCCUACGGGAGGCAGCAGUGGGGAAUAUUGCACAAUGGGCGGAAGCCUGAUGCAGCAACGCCGCGUGCGGGAUGACGGCCUUCGGGUUGUAAACCGCUUUCGCCUGUGACGAAGCGUGAGUGACGGUAAUGGGUAAAGAAGCACCGGCUAACUACGUGCCAGCAGCCGCGGUGAUACGUAGGGUGCGAGCGUUGUCCGGAUUUAUUGGGCGUAAAGGGCUCGUAGGUGGUUGAUCGCGUCGGAAGUGUAAUCUUGGGGCUUAACCCUGAGCGUGCUUUCGAUACGGGUUGACUUGAGGAAGGUAGGGGAGAAUGGAAUUCCUGGUGGAGCGGUGGAAUGCGCAGAUAUCAGGAGGAACACCAGUGGCGAAGGCGGUUCUCUGGGCCUUUCCUGACGCUGAAGAGCGAAAGCGUGGGGAGCGAACAGGCUUAGAUACCCUGGUAGUCCACGCUGUAAACGGUGGGUACUGGGUGUGGGGUCCAUUCCACGGGUUCCGUGCCGUAGCUAACGCUUUAAGUACCCCGCCUGGGGAGUACGGCCGCAAGGCUAAAACUCAAAGGAAUUGACGGGGCCCCGCACAAGCGGCGGAGCAUGCGGAUUAAUUCGAUGCAACGCGUAGAACCUUACCUGGGUUUGACAUGGAUCGGGAGUGCUCAGAGAUGGGUGUGCCUCUUUUGGGGUCGGUUCACAGGUGGUGCAUGGCUGUCGUCAGCUCGUGUCGUGAGAUGUUGGGUUAAGUCCCGCAACGAGCGCAACCCUUGUUCACUGUUGCCAGCACGUUAUGGUGGGGACUCAGUGGAGACCGCCGGGGUCAACUCGGAGGAAGGUGGGGAUGACGUCAAGUCAUCAUGCCCCUUAUGUCCAGGGCUUCACGCAUGCUACAAUGGCUGGUACAGAGAGUGGCGAGCCUGUGAGGGUGAGCGAAUCUCGGAAAGCCGGUCUCAGUUCGGAUUGGGGUCUGCAACUCGACCUCAUGAAGUCGGAGUCGCUAGUAAUCGCAGAUCAGCAACGCUGCGGUGAAUACGUUCCCGGGGCUUGUACACACCGCCCGUCAAGUCAUGAAAGUUGGUAACACCCGAAGCCGGUGGCCUAACCGUUGUGGGGGAGCCGUCGAAGGUGGGACUGGUGAUUAGGACUAAGUCAU
This 1434-nucleotide ribosomal RNA is filed under the name uncultured organism. RNAcentral describes it as "partial small subunit ribosomal RNA". It matches the Rfam family "Bacterial small subunit ribosomal RNA". The record is from RNAcentral.